Molecule: ribosomal RNA, 348 nt
Filed under: Escherichia coli
Lineage: Bacteria; Pseudomonadati; Pseudomonadota; Gammaproteobacteria; Enterobacterales; Enterobacteriaceae
Description: bacterial LSU rRNA
Rfam family: Bacterial large subunit ribosomal RNA
Source: RNAcentral
CGAGCUGGGUUUAGAACGUCGUGAGACAGUUCGGUCCCUAUCUGCCGUGGGCGCUGGAGAACUGAGGGGGGCUGCUCCUAGUACGAGAGGACCGGAGUGGACGCAUCACUGGUGUUCGGGUUGUCAUGCCAAUGGCACUGCCCGGUAGCUAAAUGCGGAAGAGAUAAGUGCUGAAAGCAUCUAAGCACGAAACUUGCCCCGAGAUGAGUUCUCCCUGACCCUUUAAGGGUCCUGAAGGAACGUUGAAGACGACGACGUUGAUAGGCCGGGUGUGUAAGCGCAGCGAUGCGUUGAGCUAACCGGUACUAAUGAACCGUGAGGCUUAACCUUACAACGCCGAAGGUGUUU